AUUGAACGCUGGCGGCAUGCCUUACACAUGCAAGUCGAACGGCAGCACGGGUGCUUGCACCUGGUGGCGAGUGGCGAACGGGUGAGUAAUACAUCGGAACAUGUCCUGUAGUGGGGGAUAGCCCGGCGAAAGCCGGAUUAAUACCGCAUACGAUACACGGAUGAAAGCGGGGGACCUUCGGGCCUCGCGCUAUAGGGUUGGCCGAUGGCUGAUUAGCUAGUUGGUGGGGUAAAGGCCUACCAAGGCGACGAUCAGUAGCUGGUCUGAGAGGACGACCAGCCACACUGGGACUGAGACACGGCCCAGACUCCUACGGGAGGCAGCAGUGGGGAAUUUUGGACAAUGGGCGAAAGCCUGAUCCAGCAAUGCCGCGUGUGUGAAGAAGGCCUUCGGGUUGUAAAGCACUUUUGUCCGGAAAGAAAUCCUUGACUCUAAUACAGUCGGGGGAUGACGGUACCGGAAGAAUAAGCACCGGCUAACUACGUG
This 486-nucleotide ribosomal RNA is filed under the name uncultured bacterium. RNAcentral describes it as "partial 16S ribosomal RNA". It matches the Rfam family "Bacterial small subunit ribosomal RNA", at positions 30 to 507 of the family's 1533-position model. The record is from RNAcentral.